This 355-nucleotide unclassified non-coding RNA is filed under the name soil metagenome. RNAcentral describes it as "partial contains 5.8S ribosomal RNA, internal transcribed spacer 2, and large subunit ribosomal RNA". The stretch from base 1 to 120 matches the Rfam family "5.8S ribosomal RNA", at positions 35 to 154 of the family's 154-position model. The record is from RNAcentral.
GAUGAAGAACGUAGCGAAAUGCGAUACGUAAUGUGAAUUGCAGAAUUCAGUGAAUCAUCGAAUCUUUGAACGCACAUUGCGCCCGCCAGUAUUCUGGCGGGCAUGCCUGUCCGAGCGUCAUUUCAACCCUCGAACCCCUCCGGGGGGUCGGCGUUGGGGAUCGGCCCUGCCUCUUGGCGGUGGCCGUCUCCGAAAUACAGUGGCGGUCUCGCCGCAGCCUCUCCUGCGCAGUAGUUUGCACACUCGCAUCGGGAGCGCGGCGCGUCCACAGCCGUUAAACACCCAACUUCUGAAAUGUUGACCUCGGAUCAGGUAGGAAUACCCGCUGAACUUAAGCAUAUCAAUAAGCGGAGGA